UUACAGUGGAGCUGAAUUGGAAGGUGUUGUCAAAAGUGCAGUCUCAUUUGCCUUGAACCGGCAAAUAAGCAUGGAUGAUCUUUCUAAACCUUUGGAUGAGGAGAGCAUAAAGGUUACUAUGGAUGACUUUGAGCAUGCUUGUCAAGAAAUUGUGCCUGCAUUUGGCGCAUCGACAGGUGAUCUUGAGCGGUGCAGGCUUAAUGGUAUUGUUGACUGUGGUCAGAGGCACCGACAUAUAUAUCAAAGAGCUAUGCUUCUCGUGGAG
RNAcentral lists this unclassified non-coding RNA (265 nucleotides) under Hevea brasiliensis (rubber tree). The record is from RNAcentral. Lineage: Eukaryota; Viridiplantae; Streptophyta; Magnoliopsida; Malpighiales; Euphorbiaceae.